RNA transcript from Balaenoptera musculus (blue whale), 3733 nucleotides. It is a transcript of the gene named RNA-binding protein 4B, with no coding region annotated. The record is from RefSeq and is a predicted model, not a curated record. Lineage: Eukaryota; Metazoa; Chordata; Mammalia; Artiodactyla; Balaenopteridae. The transcript is spliced from 4 exons.
AGUUGGGCCGCUGGGGCGCGGGUGUCCCAGGUUGGGGCAAAGGGGGCCUUUUAAUUCUUAGAGUAUCUUGAAAGGUGAUGCCGCACGGAAGAGAGGCUCUUGUCAGGAUGGUGAAGCUGUUCAUUGGAAACCUGCCCCGGGAGGCCACAGAGCAGGAGAUCCGCUCGCUCUUCGAGCAGUAUGGGAAGGUGCUGGAGUGUGACAUCAUUAAGAACUACGGCUUUGUGCACAUAGAGGACAAGACGGCGGCCGAGGAUGCCAUACGCAACCUGCACCACUACAAGCUGCACGGGGUGAACAUCAACGUGGAAGCCAGCAAGAAUAAGAGCAAAGCUUCAACCAAAUUGCAUGUAGGCAACAUCAGUCCUACUUGUACCAACCAAGAGCUUCGGGCCAAGUUUGAGGAGUAUGGUCCAGUCAUCGAAUGUGACAUCGUAAAAGAUUAUGCCUUUGUGCACAUGGAGCGGGCAGAGGAUGCAGUGGAGGCCAUCAGGGGCCUUGACAACACAGAGUUUCAAGGCAAACGAAUGCACGUGCAGUUGUCCACCAGCCGGCUUCGGACUGCCCCUGGGAUGGGAGACCAGAGUGGCUGCUAUCGGUGUGGGAAAGAGGGGCACUGGUCCAAAGAGUGUCCGGUAGAUCGUACGGGUCGCGUGGCGGACUUUACCGAGCAGUAUAACGAACAGUAUGGAGCAGUGCGCACACCUUACACCAUGGGCUACGGGGAAUCCAUGUAUUACAACGACGCGUAUGGAGCGCUCGACUACUAUAAGCGUUACCGAGUCCGUUCUUAUGAGGCAGUGGCAGCAGCAGCAGCAGCUUCCGCGUACAACUACGCAGAGCAGACCAUGUCCCAUCUGCCUCAAGUCCAGAGCACAGCUGUGACCAGUCACCUCAACUCCACUUCUGUUGAUCCCUACGACAGACACCUGUUGCCAAACUCAGGCGCUGCUGCCACCUCAGCUGCUAUGGCUGCUGCCGCUGCCACCACUUCCUCCUAUUAUGGAAGGGACAGGAGCCCCCUGCGUCGUGCUGCCGCUGUGCUCCCCACAGUUGGAGAGGGCUACGGUUAUGGGCCAGAGAGUGAGCUGUCUCAGGCUUCAGCCGCUGCACGGAAUUCUCUGUAUGACAUGGCCCGGUAUGAGCGGGAGCAGUAUGUGGACCGAGCACGGUACUCAGCCUUUUAAAAACUGGAGGUGAGAGUGGGGUGGGUGUGGUUAAGAGAUUCCAUUUAGUUCCCCAGGAGGGAGACCUGUGCCCCAUAGAGGAGGCUAAAGCCACCUGUUUGCUGUCAGGACAGUAUCCAAAAGGUAUAAAUUGCAUGUUAGUCUUAAGUAUUUCUCUAACUUAGGCCAGGGGUUCAUUUGGCCUGUUGAGGUUUUAGUUUGCAACUCGAACCAACCAUUUGUUCCUUCUGAGAGAACAACAGCAACUCAGUUUGUUAGUAAGAAUAUUGUUCUUUAAUCAAGUGUAAGCAGAUCUGGGUUACAGAGACAUAGUUAAGAGAACUAACACUUGUUGAGUGCCCUCUUUGUACAUUAUAUCAUUUAAUCAUACAGCUAGCCUUUAAGAUAUUUUCUUUUAUGGAGAAGGGAACUAAGGCUCAGAGGGGUUAAGUACUUUGCCUAAAGUCAUUUGGUAACUGAGAGGUAGAGCCAGAAUUCAAACUCAGGCGUGCCUGAGUCCAAAACCAUUUUCUCUUUGCACCACAAAAGUCACUGUAGUGUAUGCUGAAGAGUACAGGUUCAGGAGUUAAUAAUGAAUGUCACCAGUGAGAAUUUAAGCUAUAACUUCAGGCUUCCAGUUUGCUAAUAAAACUACUACUUCGGUCAUGAGCCUUUAUCAGAGGAAACUCUUCUAAUAUAUCUAUAAGCCACAUAAAAUCCUCUAAAUUCUAGGUGUUUAGUUCCAGGAUACUUGCCUGAAAGCAGAACGUUUUGAUGCCACUGUCCCAUGGUGUCCCUUCCUUGUUAGUAAUCCAGAGCAUCGUGUUCUGUGUGGGCACUUAAGCCGUAUUUCUGCAUGGCUUAUGCUAUCAUUUAGAGCCUGACACUUCCCAUUUCUUCCAGCAAAUUUUGUUUUUUUUGUUUUGAGAGGAACAUUUAAGGAGCUAGAUAAAACAGGUAAUUUUCUGAUGUGUGUAAGUCCCAUUGGUGGUAACCCUGCAAUUUUUCCUGCUUCAUAAAAUGUAUAGCAAAGAUGUUCGAAUGUCAAGAAUAAUUAGGAGUAUCUAGAGAUUGAUAAAGCUCUUCAUCUUAGUGGAAAUUGCAUCAUAACUUUCUAUUCUCAUGGUUUUCCUUGUACCUUGAAAUUGAGCAUCAGUAGAACUGGAGGCCUCGUAGCAAAGUUAAACUGAGUUACCACUGAGUUUUCAGGGUUCCUGAGUACCCCUUUGGUAUAUGUGUAGAAGAAAACCAAGUGACAGGAAUUUGCCCUUUUACGUAGUGGGAAGCAAAUAUGAUGUGAACCUGUGAUAAGUUAUGUCCUAUAUGACCAUGACAAGACAGAUCCCCUGAGACCGCUGUGUAGUGUGUGUUCAUGUGCAUGAAGAGGAUAAUCUUACAACUAGUGUAGUUUGCCAUUAUUUUUACUUUUAUUGCUGCUGGAUCUGCCAUGAAGUAGGAUAUGCCUCUAAAGUAAGGUGGUAUCUUCUAUUGGAUAACUUAUAUUUCUCUCAAAUAUGUUCCAAAGUUAAAUAUUAAAGUAGUGUAUAUUGUGGUCUUUAAAGGGUAUUGCUAAGGUAUUUUUAAGUGAUUUUUGACUGCGAGCAGUGGUUGUUCAACUAACCUCUUUUUAGUGAUGACUUUUAAAGAAACUUACCUUCCAGGUGUGAACCUCAAAUGGACUGAAUAACCUUGAGUUGGUUGCAGUCCCAGGAGCCUGAUGUUAAUGAGGCUGCCAGGAUGAAAUACUCCAGAACUGCUGGGGAUCCAAAUUCGGGUCUCACCCUAGCAGAACUGAUUCAAGAACGUCACAACUUUUGAAGUCGAUUGGCACAGAUCAAGACCAAGAUUUGGCCCUUUGUCUGUAAUAAGUAGAGGAACUUGGUGACGGGACCAGGGCCCUUGUACUCGGAGCCAAGCUGCUCUCCAGGCAUUGUGUAAGCCUCUUGUGUUGUGCUCUCUUUCAGGUAGGAUAAUUGCGGACUGAACCCUCGGGCUGCGGUCAUAUAUGAGAACUUGCUCCGCGCGGUCCCCUUUGCCGGGAUGUUUCCAUUGCUUCAUGUUUCAGUAAACAAAGGAGUUUGUGACCAACUAUGUUUUCUUUCUUAAUUUAAUUCUUCUAAGUUGACUUUUCUUUCCUCCUGAUACUAGUCUCUGUAGCCUUUCACUCUAUUCCUUAUGUUCUCAGCCUCUGAGCAGCCCUAGGUAAGGAUUAUACUGGCAUCCCCUUUUUCCUGUACAGUGGAAUCCCUCUUAUCUUGCUUUCCUUAGGAGUUGAACCCUUCUCCCUCUCUACCUGCAACAUCUCCUUUCCCUUUAAAAUGACCAUGUAGUGGCAAGCAGCCUUUUACUCUUCUCUGUUAGCUCUGGACUCUAACGUUGAAGCUAAUCUUCUGAAAUUGCUAGGACCAUUGGGGUUUUGGUUGUUGUUUUGUUUUGUUUUGUUUUUUUAUGUCUGACCUGUGAUCAUGGUACAGCAUUGGCUGAAAUUUAGCCUUGUUUUACUCCACUUCUCUCCCUUUUUUUUUUUUUUUUUAAUAUUUUGACAAAUAAACGUUUCUAACACUUAA